UACACAUAUACAUUUAAUAGGUAACAGUGUAAUGGUUUGUUAUCUUUUCAGAUUAUGAUUGUGUAAGCGUUCAUGCAUGGAACGGAGUGUUUGUCUGCCCAGAGUAUAAAGCACCGAUAUACACAGACGAAAAAACGUUGCCACGAAGAACAACUGUAUGUCCAUUAAUAAAACGAGAUUUUUCUGGUACAAGACAGCAAUCAAGCGCACGUUUGGGUCACACGGUGAUGUUUGUCGUAAUCAUCAUUUUCGGUCUAACAAGUAUAAUUAUAUUAGCAAUAAUAGGAAAGACAAAGAAGUUAUGUAAG
Mytilus californianus (California mussel) is the source of this 308-nucleotide long non-coding RNA. RefSeq lists it as uncharacterized. Lineage: Eukaryota; Metazoa; Mollusca; Bivalvia; Mytilida; Mytilidae. The record is from RefSeq and is a predicted model, not a curated record. The transcript has 4 exons.